CCCUUAGAUGUUCUGAACCGCACGCGUGUUACACUGAUGCAUUCAACGAGCUUUACCUUGGCCGAGAGGCCUGGGAAAUCUUUUUAGCAUGCAUCGUGAUAGGGAUUGAUUAUUGCAAUUAUUAAUCAUGAACGAGGAAUUCCUAGUAAACGCAUUUCAUCAAAAUGCAUUGAUUACGUCCCUGCCCUUUGUACACACCGCCCGUCGCUCCUACCGAUUGAAUGAUCCGAUGAAUACCAUGGAUUGAGAGUACGAAUAGGUUCGCUUAUUUCUGCUGCUCGAGAAGUGGAGUAAAUCUUAUCAUUUAGAGGAAGGAGAAGUCGUAACA
Molecule: ribosomal RNA, 328 nt
Filed under: uncultured eukaryote
Lineage: Eukaryota
Description: partial 18S ribosomal RNA
Rfam family: Eukaryotic small subunit ribosomal RNA
Source: RNAcentral